GACGAACGCUGGCGGCGUGCUUAACACAUGCAAGUCGAACGGAAAGGCCCUGCUUUUGUGGGGUGCUCGAGUGGCGAACGGGUGAGUAACACGUGAGUAACCUGCCCUUGACUUUGGGAUAACUUCAGGAAACUGGGGCUAAUACCGGAUAGGAGCUCCUGCUGCAUGGUGGGGGUUGGAAAGUUUCGGCGGUUGGGGAUGGACUCGCGGCUUAUCAGCUUGUUGGUGGGGUAGUGGCUUACCAAGGCUUUGACGGGUAGCCGGCCUGGGAGGGUGACCGGCCACAUUGGGACUGCGAUACGGCCCAGACUCCUACGUGAGGCAACAGUGGGGAAUAUUGCACAAUGGGCGGAAGCCUGAUGCAGCAACGCCGCGUGCGGGAUGACGGCCUUCGGGUUGUAAACCGCUUUCGCCUGUGACGAAGCGUGAGUGACGGUAAUGGGUAAAGAAGCACCGGCUAACUACGUG
Molecule: ribosomal RNA, 468 nt
Filed under: uncultured bacterium
Lineage: Bacteria
Description: partial 16S ribosomal RNA
Rfam family: Bacterial small subunit ribosomal RNA
Source: RNAcentral